RNAcentral lists this ribosomal RNA (325 nucleotides) under uncultured eukaryote. RNAcentral describes it as "partial 18S ribosomal RNA". It matches the Rfam family "Eukaryotic small subunit ribosomal RNA", at positions 1470 to 1796 of the family's 1831-position model. The record is from RNAcentral.
CCCUUAGAUGCUCUGGGCUGCACGCGCGCUACACUGAAGCGUUCAACGACUAUUCACCUUGCCCGGGAGGGUUGGGUAAUCUUUUGAAAACGCUUCGUGAUGGGGAUAGAUUAUUGCAAUUAUUAAUCUUCAACGAGGAAUUCCUAGUAAGCGCGAGUCAUCAGCUCGUGCUGAUUACGUCCCUGCCCUUUGUACACACCGCCCGUCGCUCCUACCGAUUGAGCGAUCCGGUGAAUAAUUCGGACUGCAGCACUGCUUGGUCUCCAGGCUUUGCAGCGGAAAGUUUAGUGAACCUUAUCACUUAGAGGAAGGAGAAGUCGUAACA